This is a long non-coding RNA of Megalobrama amblycephala (Wuchang bream), 659 nucleotides long. RefSeq lists it as uncharacterized. The transcript is spliced from 3 exons. The record is from RefSeq and is a predicted model, not a curated record. Lineage: Eukaryota; Metazoa; Chordata; Actinopteri; Cypriniformes; Xenocyprididae.
CUCCAGGCACCGCGGAUCAAGUCGUCCAUCACCCCCUGUGAGCAAAGAGGAAUUUUUAAAAAAACACGUCCUGAUGAGCAUCAUAUCUCUUAUCUUCUAGAUUCCAAAAGCUGAUUACCAAACUCAAGACACCAGAAUGAUUCAUGUUGAAAUGGAGAAUAUGCAGAAAGGAAACCGGGAUCACCAGACAGAACAUUUCCAAUUGCAUUUAGGAGAGACAAGGGUUGCAUUCUCCACAGCAGCAUAGAAAGCCAGGAUACCAUAGGGGCACCAGCAAAACAGCAUGGUCUUCAGAGGAGUGCCACAGUUGAACUGCACAUAGAGAGCAAGAGGGAGGUUUAGUCUUCAGUUGGAUUUCUCCAAGUCACAUGCUGCAGAUUUAACUUGGAUGCCCCUUAUACACCAUUAAACAUUCCAAUGUUCAUAUGAGCAAACAUGGUACGGCAAACCAUAGCAAAAGAAAAGAAAAGAAAAAUGGCAAAAGACUGUAAAAUGCUACAGUAAAAACCUGUUAAUUGGUUACCAGUAAAAUCCUUAAUAUAUACACUGAAUAACUGUAAUACAGUGAAUAACUGUAACUGCAAUCUUACUUUUAAUGUAAUUUUACUGUAAAAUACUGUUAAAUUUACAGUUUUUAGAAGUAAAAAAGAACAAGUCAU